UUCAAAAAUUUUUAGAGUUUCAUGUAAAUCAGGGCGGGCUUCAGCGUCACCAUUGGGCCACAAGUUCUAGAUUGACAGCUGCUCCUCUAGCCAAUCAGUCCAAGGGGGAGUUGACGUCACUCCAAUGCGACUCGUGGCUGCUGUGGCAGGUGUGUGAAGCUGGAUAAUCAGCGUCAGCAGGCAAAUCCUGGACGAUCUCAGGUAAUCAGCCAUAAAUAUUUUGUUAAUGGGUGACAGAAACAUUCCCUUUGUGUGUUAUGAUAUUUUCUGCAAGCUCUGUGUAGUCCGAUAUGUAGCCCGCUAACACGUGUCUUGUUAGUUUGGUUUAGUG
Molecule: long non-coding RNA, 331 nt
Organism: Cyprinus carpio carpio
Lineage: Eukaryota; Metazoa; Chordata; Actinopteri; Cypriniformes; Cyprinidae
Source: Ensembl